GAACUCGGAGAUAGCUGGUUCUCCUCGAAAUAGCUUUAGGGCUAGCGUCGUGUUAGUAGCACAUGGGGGUAGAGCUCUGUAAAGGACUGGGGCGGGCAACUGUACCCACCCUUAACAAACUACGAAUACCAUGUGUGUAAUCACGGCAGUUAGAACAUCGGUGCUAAGAUCGGUGCUCAAAAGGGAAACAGCCCAGACCAUCAUCUAAGGUCCCUAAAUUAACGUUCAGUGGGAAACAAGGUGAGAUUUCUUAAACAGCUAGGAUGUUGGCUUAGAAGCAGCCAUUCAUUUAAAGAGUGCGUAACAGCUCACUAGUCAAGAGAUCUUGCGUGGAAAAUGUAACGGGGCUAAAACGUUAUACCGAAGAUAUGGAUGUCAGAUUUAUCUGGCGUGGUAGAGGAGCGUUCCUAUCAGCAGUGAAGUCGAAUCGGAAGGUUCGGUGGAGCGUUAGGAAGUGAGAAUGCUGGAAUGAGUAACCAUAAGAGAGGUGAGAAUCCUCUCGGCCGUAAGAGCAAGGUUUCCUGAGCCAUGGUAAUCAUCUCAGGGUUAGUCGGGCCUAAGCCGAGGCGCAGAGCGUAGGCGAUGGACAUCAGGUUAAUAUUCCUGAACCGGUUAAGUUUUGUACACUGUUCACGGGGAAGUAAUCGAAGCGGAUUCAUGGUUUAUCCGUCCAACCGAGCGGGAACGCAAAGGGAGUGAAAGUGAUUCUUCGGAGUCGCGAUUUUGGUGAAAGCCCUGGCUAGAAAAGCAGGUGUACGCGUGGACUUAGCCGCCCGUACCGCAAACCAACACAGGUGCUCGAGUCGAGUAGACUCAGGCUUACGAGCGAACCUUCGCUAAGGAACUCGGCAAUACAGCGACCGUAACUUCGGGAUAAGGUCUGCCCCCACUUCGGUGGAUAUCAGCCGCGUUCACUCAGUGAAUAUUAGGUUAAAGAGUACAUUUUUAAUCACAAAACGAAUUUUCUGAGAUAGAGCAAACGAAUUGUUCUUUUGAACGCGAACCUCUGACGUCUAACGAUGUGGGGGCCGCAGCAAAAGAGCCCACGGAACUGUUUAUCAAAAACACAGGUCUCUGCUAACACGAAAGUGGAUGUAUAGGGGCUGACUCCUGCCCAAUGCUGGAAGGUUAAGGGGAGCGCUUCACGGUGCGAACUGAAGCCCUAGUCAAUGGCGGCGGUAACUAUAACCGUCCUAAGGUAGCGAAAUUCCUUGUCAGGUAAGUUCUGACCCGCACGAAUGGAGUAAUCAUGUGGGCACUGUCUCAGCGAAGGACUCGGUGAAAGUGCAUUGGCGGUAAAGAUGCCGUCUGUCCAUGCCAGGACGAGAAGACCCCAUGGAGCUUUACUACAGCUUUACAUUGACACGGGUUACAUCAUGUGUAG
This 1384-nucleotide ribosomal RNA is filed under the name human gut metagenome. RNAcentral describes it as "bacterial LSU rRNA". It matches the Rfam family "Bacterial large subunit ribosomal RNA", at positions 835 to 2141 of the family's 2925-position model. The record is from RNAcentral.